Molecule: RNase P RNA, 478 nt
Filed under: Acidobacteriota bacterium
Lineage: Bacteria; Pseudomonadati; Acidobacteriota
Description: Acidobacteria bacterium RNase P RNA component class A
Rfam family: Bacterial RNase P class A
About the family: Ribonuclease P (RNase P) is a ubiquitous endoribonuclease, found in archaea, bacteria and eukarya as well as chloroplasts and mitochondria. Its best characterised activity is the generation of mature 5'-ends of tRNAs by cleaving the 5'-leader elements of precursor-tRNAs.
Source: RNAcentral
GAGGCUUACCGGACGGUCGCUGGGGCGAUUGCCUCAGAGGAAAGUCCGAACACCAAAGGGCAGCGAGCCGGAUAACGUCCGGGCGUUUUGACAGGUCAGGUCUCAGAUCUGAUAUUUCAGGACGACGACAAGUGCAACAGAAAGUAUUCCUGCCGGAAGAUUUGGAAUUUCAGAUUUGAGGUUUCUCAGAUCGCGUGCCUAGCACGAUCCGGUGAUGGGUGAAACGGUGAGGUAAGGGCUCACCGGCAUCGGUGGUAACACUCGAUGGCCAGGUAAACUCCUCGUGGUGCAAGACCAAAUAGGGAAACGCGAUCGGGCUGCCCGUCCCGGCGUCGGCUUUGGCGGACAGCGUCUCCGGGUAGGUUGCUCGAGCCGUUCGGUAACGGACGGCCUAGAUGAAUGACCGUCACCGUGUGGUUCGUGUUCGAAAGGGCGCGGACUUUCGGAACAGGAUUCGGCUUAUAGGUAAGCCUCAUAG